AGGGUUUGAUCCUGGCUCAGAGUGAACGCUGGCGGCGUGCCUAACACAUGCAAGUCGAACGAGUUUUCGCAGAGUAUCGUGGAAAUUAGUGGCAGACGGGUGAGUAUCACAUAGGCCAUUUACCCUUGAGAGGGAAAUAACCCCGAGAAAUCGGGGCUAAUGUCCCAUAAGACCACAGCCUUUCCUACGAAAGGCAGAGGUCAAAGCUCCGCAAGGGGCGCUUGAGGAUGAGCCUGUGUCCUAUCAGCUAGUUGGUGAGGUAACGGCCCACCAAGGCUAAGACGGGUAUCCGACCUGAAAGGGUGACCGGACACACUGGAACUGAGACACGGUCCAGACUCCUACGGGAGGCAGCAGUGGGGAAUUUUGGACAAUGGGGGCAACCCUGAUCCAGCAACGCCGCGUGAGGGAUGAAGGUUUUCGGAUUGUAAACCUCUUUUGCAGGGGACGAAUUCAUCCGUGAAUAACGGAUAUUGACGGUACUCUGCGAAUAAGCCACGGCUAACUACGUGCCAGCAGCCGCGGUAAUACGUAGGUGGCAAGCGUUACUCGGAAUUACUAGGCGUAAAGCGCAGGUAGGCGGUUGGAUAAGUCCAUAAUGAAAUCUCCCGGCUUAACUGGGAGGGGUUUAGGGAUACUGUCCGGCUUGAGUGUGGGAGAGGUCACUGGAAUUCCUGGUGUAGCGGUGAAAUGCGUAGAGAUCAGGAGGAACACCUAUGGCGAAAGCAGGUGACUGGCCCAAUACUGACGCUGAGCUGCGAAAGCUAGGGGAGCAAACAGGAUUAGAUACCCUGGUAGUCCUAGCUGUAAACGAUGCAGACCAGACGUGGUGGGUAUCGACCCCCUCCGCGCCGAACUUAACGGAUUAAGUCUGCCACCUGGGGAGUACGGCCGCAAGGUUGAAACUCAAAGGAAUUGACGGGGACCCGCACAAGCGGUGGAGUAUGUGGUUUAAUUCGACACAACACGAAAAACCUUACCUGGGCUCGAACGACUGGAAGUAAGAUCUGUGAAAGCGGAGAUGAUCUGUAAAGUCAGGAACCAGCCGAGGUGCUGCAUGUUUGUCGUCGGCUCGUGUCGUGAGAUGUUGGGUUAAGUCCCGCAACGAGCGCAACCCCCGUUUCCUGUUGCCACCCGCAAGGGGGCACUCUGGAGAGACUGCCCACGAUGAGUGGGAGGAAGGUGGGGACGACGUCAAAUCACCAUGGCCCUUAUGUCCAGGGCUACACACGUACUACAAUGGCCAUCACAACGGGAUGCAAUGGAGCAAUCCGGAGCCAAUCCUUGUAAAAAUGGCCCCAGUUCAGAUUGUGGGCUGCAACUCGCCCACAUGAAGGUGGAAUCGCUAGUAAUCGCGAAUCAGAAGGUCGCGGUGAAUACGUUCCCGGGUCUUGUACACACCGCCCGUCACACCACGAAAGCCCGCUGCAACAGAAGUGCCCCCG
RNAcentral lists this ribosomal RNA (1445 nucleotides) under metagenome. Its description in RNAcentral is "bacterial SSU rRNA". It matches the Rfam family "Bacterial small subunit ribosomal RNA". The record is from RNAcentral.